RNAcentral lists this ribosomal RNA (438 nucleotides) under uncultured bacterium. RNAcentral's name for it is "bacterial SSU rRNA". It matches the Rfam family "Bacterial small subunit ribosomal RNA", at positions 958 to 1397 of the family's 1533-position model. The record is from RNAcentral.
AACGCGAAGAACCUUACCCAGGUUUGACAUGUACUUGACAGCGGCAGAAAUGUCGUCUUCCGAAAGGACAGGUACACAGGUGCUGCAUGGCUGUCGUCAGCUCGUGCCGUGAGGUGUUGGGUUAAGUCCCGCAACGAGCGCAACCCUUAUCACUAGUUGCCAGCACUUAGGGUGGGAACUCUAGUGAGACUGCCUGGGUUAACCAGGAGGAAGGUGAGGAUGACGUCAAGUCAGCAUGGCCCUUAUGUCUGGGGCGACACACGUGCUACAAUGGCCGGUACAGAAGGCAGCAAGACCGCAAGGUGGAGCAAAUCCCAAAAGCCGGCCCCAGUUCGGAUUGUAGUCUGCAACUCGACUACAUGAAGUUGGAAUUGCUAGUAAUGGCGCGUCAGCCAUAGCGCCGUGAAUACGUUCCCGGGCCUUGUACACACCGAUAGC